RNAcentral lists this ribosomal RNA (277 nucleotides) under uncultured prokaryote. Its description in RNAcentral is "partial 16S ribosomal RNA". It matches the Rfam family "Bacterial small subunit ribosomal RNA", at positions 524 to 800 of the family's 1533-position model. The record is from RNAcentral.
UACGAAGGGUGCAAGCGUUAAUCGGAAUUACUGGGCGUAAAGCGCGCGUAGGUGGUUCGUUAAGUUAGGAGUGAAAGCCCCGGGCUCAACCUGGGAAUUGCUUCUAAAACUGGCGAGCUAGAGUAUGGUAGAGGGUGGUGGAAUUUCCUGUGUAGCGGUGAAAUGCGUAGAUAUAGGAAGGAACAUCAGUGGCGAAGGCGACCACCUGGACUGAUACUGACACUGAGGUGCGAAAGCGUGGGGAGCAAACAGGAUUAGAUACCCCUGUAGUCCCUGA